Molecule: long non-coding RNA, 399 nt
Organism: Macadamia integrifolia
Lineage: Eukaryota; Viridiplantae; Streptophyta; Magnoliopsida; Proteales; Proteaceae
Exons: 3
Source: RefSeq, a predicted model, not a curated record
AAUAAUAAUAAUAAUUAUGAAGGAAAAGAAAGAGAACAUCACUCCACACACAAAGAAGAAUGAAGUUUCAGUCUCUCAGAAAGAGAUUUUGAUUUGAUAAAAUGGAAAUUCAGAGGGAAACAAAAGAAAGGUUCGGGUCAGGUCAAGUCAGGUUAGGUAGGCGUAGCUGCGAAGGACUGAGGGGAAGUGCAGAGAAGAUUCUAGCAGGAACAAAGAAGAAGAUUGGGGGAAAUGAAUCCGAAGGAAAAGAAAGAGAGGGAAGAAACCUAGUUAGUUCCCAGAGGAGAAAACAUCCACACAGAAGGAAGAAGGAAGUUUUUUCAGCCUCUUAGAAAGAGAUUUGAUUUGAUGGUGGUGAACAAUAAUACGAGGGAACAGUGAAUUAAUAUGGCUUACAGA